Molecule: ribosomal RNA, 512 nt
Filed under: uncultured bacterium
Lineage: Bacteria
Description: bacterial SSU rRNA
Rfam family: Bacterial small subunit ribosomal RNA
Source: RNAcentral
GAUCCUGGCUCAGGAUGAACGCUAGCUACAGGCUUAACACAUGCAAGUCGAGGGGCAGCAUGGGAUAGCUUGCUAUUCAGAUGGCGACCGGCGCACGGGUGAGUAACGCGUAUCCAACCUUCCUGCCAGUAGGGAACAGCCCGGCGAAAGUCGGAUUAAUGCCCUAUGUUCUUCAAUGCGGACAUCUAAGUUGAAGGAAAGAUUCAUCGCUGGCAGAUGGGGAUGCGUCCGAUUAGCUUGCCGGCGGGGUAACGGCCCACCGGGGCGACGAUCGGUAGGGGUUCUGAGAGGAAGGUCCCCCACACUGGUACUGAGACACGGACCAGACUCCUACGGGAGGCAGCAGUGAGGAAUAUUGGUCAAUGGGCGUAAGCCUGAACCAGCCAAGUAGCGUGCAGGACGACGGCCCUACGGGUUGUAAACUGCUUUUAUGCGGGGAUAAAGUGCGGCACGUGUGCCGCUUUGCAGGUACCGCAUGAAUAAGGACCGGCUAAUUCCGUGCCAGCAGCCGC